CCUACGGGAGGCAGCAGUGAGGAAUAUUGGUCAAUGGACGCAAGUCUGAACCAGCCAUGCAGCGUGCAGGAUGACGGCCCUAUGAGUUGUAAACUGCUUUUGUACGAGGGUAAACGCAGACACGCGUAUCUUUUUGCAAGUAUCGUAUGAAUAAGGAUCGGCUAAGUCCGUGCCAGCAGCCGCGGUAAUACGGAGGAUCCAAGCGUUAUCCGGAUUUAUUGGGUUUAAAGGGUGCGUAGGCGGUCGGGUAAGUUAGUUGUGAAAUUCCGAGGCUCAACCGCGGAAUUGCAUCUGAUACUGGUCGGCUUGAGUGUAGUUGCGGUAGGCGGAAUGUGUGGUGUAGCGGUGAAAUGCUUAGAGAUCAUGAAGAACACCGAUUGCGAAGGCAGCUUACCAAGCUACUACUGACGCUGAUGCACGAAAGCGUGGGGAUCAAACAGGAUUAGAUACCCGGGUAGUC
RNAcentral lists this ribosomal RNA (460 nucleotides) under uncultured bacterium. Its description in RNAcentral is "partial 16S ribosomal RNA". It matches the Rfam family "Bacterial small subunit ribosomal RNA", at positions 338 to 795 of the family's 1533-position model. The record is from RNAcentral.